Molecule: ribosomal RNA, 443 nt
Filed under: uncultured bacterium
Lineage: Bacteria
Description: partial 16S ribosomal RNA
Rfam family: Bacterial small subunit ribosomal RNA
Source: RNAcentral
CCUACGGGCGGCAGCAGUGGGGAAUAUUGGACAAUGGGGGGAACCCUGAUCCAGCGACGCCGCGUGAGUGAAGAAGUAUUUCGGUAUGUAAAGCUCUAUCAGCAGGGAAGAAAGAAAUGACGGUACCUGACUAAGAAGCCCCGGCUAACUACGUGCCAGCAGCCGCGGUAAUACGUAGGGGGCAAGCGUUAUCCGGAUUUACUGGGUGUAAAGGGAGCGUAGACGGCGAUGCAAGUCUGAAGUGAAAGGCGGGGGCCCAACCCCCGGACUGCUUUGGAAACUGUAUGGCUGGAGUGAAGGAGAGGUAAGUGGAAUUCCGAGUGUAGCGGUGAAAUGCGUAGAUAUUAGGAGGAACACCAGUGGCGAAGGCGGCUUACUGGACUGUAACUGACGUUGAGGCUCGAAAGCGUGGGGAGCAAACAGGAUUAGAUACCCGAGUAGUC